ACCGAGCUAGUCUACAUCUG
RNAcentral lists this microRNA (20 nucleotides) under Rosa chinensis. RNAcentral describes it as "sRNA RchiOBHm_Chr2g0137115". The record is from RNAcentral. Lineage: Eukaryota; Viridiplantae; Streptophyta; Magnoliopsida; Rosales; Rosaceae.